Molecule: ribosomal RNA, 253 nt
Filed under: uncultured bacterium
Lineage: Bacteria
Description: partial 16S ribosomal RNA
Rfam family: Bacterial small subunit ribosomal RNA
Source: RNAcentral
UACAGAGGGUGCGAGCGUUGUCCGGAAUUACUGGGCGUAAAGGGCGCGUAGGCGGCCCGGUGCGCGUGCCGUGAAAGCCCGGGGCUCAACCCCGGGUCGGCGGUGCGAACGGCCGGGCUGGAGCGCGCCAGAGGCAGGCGGAAUUCCGGGUGUAGCGGUGGAAUGCGUAGAGAUCCGGAAGAACACCGGUGGCGAAGGCGGCCUGCUGGGGUGUGGCUGACGCUGAGGCGCGAAAGCGUGGGGAGCAAACAGG